UGGGGAAUAUUGCACAAUGGGCGCAAGCCUGAUGCAGCGACGCCGCGUGGGGGAUGACGGCCUUCGGGUUGUAAACUCCUUUCGCUAGGGACGAAGCUUUUUGUGACGGUACCUAGAUAAGAAGCACCGGCUAACUACGUGCCAGCAGCCGCGGUAAUACGUAGGGUGCGAGCGUUGUCCGGAAUUACUGGGCGUAAAGGGUUCGCAGGCGGAAAUGCAAGUCAGGUGUAAAAGGCAGUAGCUUAACUACUGUAAGCAUUUGAAACUGCAUAUCUUGAGAAGAGUAGAGGUAAGUGGAAUUUUUAGUGUAGCGGUGAAAUGCGUAGAUAUUAAAAAGAAUACCGGUGGCGAAGGCGACUUACUGGGCUCAUUCUGACGCUGAGGAACGAAAGCGUGGGUAGCAAACAGG
This 409-nucleotide ribosomal RNA is filed under the name Verrucomicrobiota bacterium. Its description in RNAcentral is "Verrucomicrobia bacterium partial 16S ribosomal RNA". It matches the Rfam family "Bacterial small subunit ribosomal RNA", at positions 355 to 776 of the family's 1533-position model. The record is from RNAcentral. Lineage: Bacteria; Pseudomonadati; Verrucomicrobiota.